UCCCAGGUACGCCUGUUAAGGGCAGGUGUAAUGUAUAAACCUUCACGGCAUUUCAAUAUUAAGGCUUCCGGCGUAACGUAUGAGCUAAUAAUUCAUGGCAGGUUAAACUUACGAGAAUGGUGCCGAAAAAGUUUAUAAAAAAUGCUUAAUUAAAAAAAAAUAUCACAGGGGGCAUUUAAUUGUAGCUCCGGAAAACGAGUGGCGCUGGAUCUGAACGUAAAUUUAAUGGGCGCAGAUUUAUCCAAGAGCUAAGCAGGAGCGCUAAUGACUUAAUUACCAGAGUUAUAAGCAGCACAUUUAAUAAGCACCGCGGGGAAACCUAAAUUUAGCGACUAGUGCCCUCAAACCAGCUAUGAUGUGAGGAAGAGAAGGAGGAGGUGGGGAAAAGAUGGAGAAAAGAACUAGAACAAAAACAGAAAUUAAAAGAAAAAAGAAAAAAUGAAGAGGAAGAAAGAAGAAAUAUAAUGUGAAGGAGGAGGAUGCGAUGAAGAAAAGAUGAGAAAAAGAAAAAGAAGAACAAGAGGAAGGACAAAAGAAAAUCAAGAUUAAAGAGAAGAAGAAGAAGAAGAAUUAAAAGAAGAAAAUAAGAGUAAAUUGGAGAGGAAGAAUGAAGAAACUAUUGGGAAAGAAAAACAAGGAAAAACAAACAAAUACAAUGCAGGAACAUGAAUAUGCAGAAAGAGAAAGAAGAGGAGGAAGAGGAUGAGAAGGCGAAGGAGAUGAGUGACAACCAAGGUAACAGGACUCGCGUAACUCAAUUAGCAUCACCCAUUUAUCCUAAUCACCACCCACCCACCCACCCCGCCCCUCCCAUCCGCAUCCGAAAGCACCCAAACAUCGGUAACACGCCUUUGAAAGUGUCGCAGAGGAGUGGCGGUGCGGACUAACAAUACGGAGGAGCAGGAGGAGGAGGAGGGGAAGGACCCGGAGUGGCGGCCGAGUGGAGGAGGAGAGGAAGAGGACCAGGAGGAGGAGGAGUAGAGGGGCUCAGUGGUAUGUUUGCGGGUGGAGCGAGCGGACGUGUUAGCUCCUAGCGCUCUCUAUUUCUCUCUCUCUUCCGCCCCUCUCACAAGCGAUCUCCGCAGCCAAGGGAAGGAGAGAGAGGGAAAGAGCCAGGCUGUCCGUUCAGGAAAGACUAUGUAGAUCCCUCAGAGGCGUCCCUUCGUCAGCCCAGGCCUCAAGGUGGGCAUGGCGACCCUCUCCUGUGGGCGCGUGAGUGAGAAGAAACUAACCUCACGCUCCUUUUCCUAACACGUGUGAUUGUGCUGGAGACCCUUACGAGUACGUGCUGUGUGCUUAACGUGUUCUGCUGUGUUCCCUUGUGCUGGGUGUCACGUACGGCAGCAGCAGGCAAGGGGAAUGUGACUAGUUGUGACAUAAAAUCUACCUGUGUUACCUGUUGAAAAAAGGUGAGUUAAGGUGACGAUUAGUGAGGAUACUGCUUCUUCCUGUUGUGUGCUAACCGUGUUCUACUGUGUUGUGGUUCUCGGCGUGUCACGUACGGCAACAGCAGACUAGGGAAAUGUAACUAGUGGGGAGAGAAAACCUACCUGUGUUACGUGACGAGUUGAGAAAGGUGAGACAAUUAAGGUGAGGACAGGUAAGACCACGAGGAAUGUACCCACCCUACCUGUACGCCCAACACUACUUCUGAUACAUGAAUUAGUGAGAUCAUUAUACGUGAGGGUAAGGAAAAAAGGUGAAUAAAUAUUGAUGCAUUGAAGGGAACAUCUUACAUGCGCCACCCGCUAUUAGUGAGUGCGCUAAUAACCAGUGAUCGCGGUGUUGUGCGUGGUGGUGAUUAAUGAGGUGUUGCACGUGAGCUGGUGGUGAUACAGUCCAUUGGUACAUAGUUGUCAUCACCACCACCACUGUCACCACCACCACCACCAUCAUUGCCCUACACUCUCAUUUAUCUCUCUCUCAACCGAUGAGAAAGUGUAGAAAGUUGAUCAAAAAGAAUGUAGAGAAGAAAAUAAUUGCUACUAGUCACCUUAACUGUAUACUAAUAGCACCUUAAACUACAACUACUACUACUACUACCACUACUACUACUACUACAGCUACUGCUACUACAACACUUAUAGUAGUGGUUUAGAAGAGACUGAAGACCUAAAGACAAACAGUGAAUGCAGUGAAAUACGAAACACGUCACCACCAGAAAUUAAAUGACGUGAAAAAAAGAAAAAAAACUAAAGCAAAAAAGAAGAGAAAAAUAAUAAUAUUCAAGAAUUAGCCGGACCGAUAAACUAUUAACCAUUGAGGAAUUAAAGAUAGUGACCGGGAGGAGGAGAAGGUCGAGGAGGAGAACACCAUCACCAACGCCACCAACAGCCCGGGCCUCGUCACCAUCAGCAGAAGACAAGAUGGAGGCGGAAACAGGCUCGAUCGGCGAACUUCAGAAGUACCACAGUCGUUUGCUCCGGUCCCGCAGACACACCCUCGCUAAUGUCCGGUACGUUUUCCUCACCUGUUCCCUGAUCACCUGUUGCCUGGGUUGUGUCAGGUGAAGGUGAGUAAUAUGAGCCCCUUCCUCUCCUCAGUACCUUUCUCCAUCCCUCCUCCUCCUUUUCCUCUCCCUUUCUGAUCCCAUUUUUUUAGCCUUUCCUCUCCCUUCCCCCUUCUCUCCU
This is a long non-coding RNA of Eriocheir sinensis (Chinese mitten crab), 2630 nucleotides long. RefSeq lists it as uncharacterized. The transcript is spliced from 3 exons. Lineage: Eukaryota; Metazoa; Arthropoda; Malacostraca; Decapoda; Varunidae. The record is from RefSeq and is a predicted model, not a curated record.